UGCAGCUGAUGUGUGCUUUUUGGCUCCGUCAGAAAUAAUUAACUUGUGUCCGAGGAAAUUAAUUUGGCUAAUAAUUAAUGGAAUAAUUAGUCAACUUUGGCAAGCAAACUAUUCAUUAGGCGAGGUGCUAGCUAGGUAGCCAGAGGGGGAAAGGUCAACGAAGAUGGCUGUACGCCGCAGGCAGCAUUUUAAGAGCCGCCGGAAGAAUCUAAUGGCCGAUAAAUAUGAUUUAUUUCCAUUCCUGCUACAUACAGUCAAUGGAAAAAGUAUAGGCAACACCAGCGAGAGCUACAUAAAAUUGUUUAACUUUGAACGCACUUAGAAAAUUUAAUGUAGUAUUCGAUUAUAAUCACGUUUCCGACCUAAAUCAAAGAGUCGCAACCUAAUUCUAAUUUUGACCCAAAUGCAUCAGGUACGAACCUGCAAAAAGUAUUGGCAACAUUUGGUUCAAUUAAGUGUGCGAAAUUAUUACGCUAACCAUCCUCAACAUUUCGUGGUGGUAAGUUAAUUAGACAACAAAAUAUGAGUUUAAUUGCUUCAGAAGUCUAGAUUAGUGUUGUUUAGGGCCAAAAUGGUGACCCAAAACGGUUGUGUCUGGCGGCGCGAGAAAUCAGCAUGUCUACUUUAGUAAAAUGCUUCGAUAUUGAAACAUCAAGCAGAAAGCAUGCUUCUCGAUAUGCACUAUUCAAAAGAUAUCUAAGAAAUAAAAAACGAGAAUCCUAGUUGCUAGUUUUCAACGAAUCGGAUAACAAAAGUUACCAACGCCUAAAAUCGAUAUGUAAAUUAGUCAAGAAUUUCGUCAACGUAGGAGGAUUUCAGCUCCUAAAAUCAACUGGAAUUUGAGAACCAACUAUGGAGUCAACAAAUCAGACAAUGCGAUGAACAGUCGAAUUCAUGCCAUGGAGUUUAAAGGUCGAGUAGCCCAAAGGACGCGUGGGCCCCCAAACUGAAUCUACUCAGGAAAUUGGAAUGGUCUAUAUCCCACUCCACAAACUUUUAGUGAAUAAACAAGGGUCUUCACGUCUUACCGAAGCAUAUUUUACUUAUUCAGAUCGGAUUGGCUGGUUAAAAUGUGGUGGAUGAAUAGUUAGACUCAAAAAAACGAAUGCCUUCAUCCGACAAUCAAACACUGAGACGGAUCGACUAUGGUUUGGGGUCAAAUGUCUUCGUCGGGGUGCCGCAAACUGGUCACUAUUGUCUAAAUCAUGAUCAACUAGGUAUAUUUAAGACUUCCAAAAGAUAAUUUGAAAUACUCUGCAAAACAGACUGAACGAAAUAGAAAUUUCCAAAUCCCACAAUGUUGUUACGCCAAGCUUUUAGCCAAAUUAACGAAGAAAUUUUUGGACACCGAAGAGGUUAAGCUUCUCCCGUUACUUACACAGUCUCCUGACAUGAAUCCUGUUGUUUCGGUUGAGAAAGGAGUGUCUGGCACUGUCUUGUAAAAAACCAUUAGUCAAGAACCUACCUGAUCCAAGUUUUGUAAGACGAGUGGGAAAUCAUGUCGGAGAGAAAUUUGUGGAGUCAAUUCCAGGGCAUGUUUCUGCUCCUAUUGCAUCGAGGGGAGUUGAUAAGUGGUUCUAGAUGCAGUUUGUCGAAACCAAAUAAGAGAUUCUUUGUUUUACGCUUUUUUAAUUAAAAGGUGCCAAUACUUUUUGUGGGUUAAUUUUGUAAGUUUUCCAACAAAUUAUUGAAAAAAUCUGUUCAUGAAAAUUAAAUCCAUAAAACAUGAUUAUAAUCGAACACUAUAUUAAAUUUGCCAAGUGCGUGCAAAGUCUUAUGUGAAUAUGGUAAUGCAUGCCAAAGUUGCCUAUACUUUUUCCAUUGACUGUACAUCGGGGCGCCACUCGCCGAAGCAUUUACCCAAAGUGACGAUGCUGGUCGGCGUUGACAACAAAGAGGGUGUUUAGGACAUACAUAUACUACUACUACCAACACCCCCACCCAGAUAUGUCAGCCACACCCUCACAAAAUGGUAAAAAGAUCUCUACAUUUGAACAUCAUUGAAAAUCUUCCAAUUUACUCCCAGUUUGAAGUACUAGUAUCCAAUAUAGGUCUUUGUUUUAUCAUAACCAUAUUAUUGUUAAGAAACAUUCAAAAGUUAUCAGAAUUAACGUUAAUAUUAGACAGUGGAUAAAAGAACUCAAAUUCACAAUAAUUAUUAGAUUCGUUUAUAAUAAAACGACUUUUCAAGCUCCGAGAAAAUGAAAUUACUCAAAAUUUAUGUUUACAAAGAGACUAAUUGUAAGUCGAUAAGGAGGAUCCACUCAUUUUCAGAAUGUAAUUACUUUUAAAUAGGGUAACAUAUUUUUAAGAGCGGUGAGAAAUUUUUUUACAAAGAAAAGUGUGUGCACAAAAUACAAACUUUUAAUAAGGGCUACCAAAUAAAUUAAGCCUCACAUCAAAACAAGAUCCGGUUGGAAAUAAAUAGGUGCACACAUUUGUCCAUACAUUCUUAAAAAUAACAUUCGUAAAAAUACACUGAAAAAAUGAUUGGGAAAAAACCCUUUGGAAAAGUAGAUUCGCAAUUAAUUUCAUACUACGUAAUCUAUAUUUAACCCGGGGUACUCUUUAUUAAAUUAACGCCACUCUGGAUUUAGUAUUAUUUAUCCAAUCUGAAAUUCAGACUGCAUUAACUUCUCGAAAGGUAACAUUAUCUUACAAAUACAAAAUUACGAUACAAUAAAGACAUGCCCAAA
Long non-coding RNA from Folsomia candida, 2696 nucleotides. RefSeq lists it as uncharacterized. The record is from RefSeq and is a predicted model, not a curated record. The transcript has 2 exons. NCBI's taxonomy places the organism in Eukaryota, Metazoa, Arthropoda, Collembola, Entomobryomorpha, Isotomidae.